Molecule: ribosomal RNA, 443 nt
Filed under: uncultured bacterium
Lineage: Bacteria
Description: partial 16S ribosomal RNA
Rfam family: Bacterial small subunit ribosomal RNA
Source: RNAcentral
CCUACGGGUGGCAGCAGUGGGGAAUAUUGGGCAAUGGGCGCAAGCCUGAACCAGCAACGCCGCGUGAAGGAAGAAGGCAUUCGGGUUGUAAACUUCUUUUGUCAGGGACGAAGCAAGUGACGGUACCUGACGAAUAAGCCACGGCUAACUACGUGCCAGCAGCCGCGGGAAUACGUAGGUGGCAAGCGUUAUCCGGAUUUACUGGGUGUAAAGGGGGUGUAGGCGGGACUGCAAGUCAGGUGGGAAAACCACGGGCGCAACCUGUGGCCUGCAUUUGAAACUGUAGUUCUUGAGUACUGGAGAGGCAGACGGAAUGCCUGGUGUAGUGGUGAAAUGCGUAGAUAUUAGGAGGAACACCAGUGGCGAAGGCAGAUUGCCGGACAGUAACUGACGCUGAGGCGCGAAAGCGUGGGGAGCGAACAGGAUUAGAUACCCUGGUAGUC